CAUCCCUGACAAUGGGCAAAGAGGCACCUUGUUGUUGGUGUUGCUCUUGUAUCAGUCAGGGGCAGAGCAGAUGGCAGUCCAUUGUUCAUCCUAGCUUAACACUUAGCUUAAUGGCCAAAGCUAUCUUAUACCUAGGAUUCAUUA
Molecule: small nucleolar RNA, 144 nt
Organism: Grammomys surdaster
Lineage: Eukaryota; Metazoa; Chordata; Mammalia; Rodentia; Muridae
Product: small nucleolar RNA SNORA48
Exons: 1
Source: RefSeq, a predicted model, not a curated record